UUAUCAGCAGCUUCUUUAAACUCCUUGUUCCUAACAAAAUGAGUCUGGUUGUAAUCAGUUUUGAAUUCCUGCAAAAGGGCUUCAAACUCAGCCUCAUUCAGGUUCUUGUUGAUCUCAGUGUUGAAAAGGGUCUCCAUUUCAUCAAAAUCAGUAGUGUAAAAUCUUGGUGUCAAAAGGGACUCUUUGAUUCCUUGUUUCUGAGGUUUCUUGGAGGGCUUUGAAGUUGGUGGGGUGGUAGUGGCGGCUGACAUUCUAACUGUGAACGGCAGUCUGCGACUGCUCAGCCGUGCAGUGGUGGUGUUGAUGGUGUUGAAUUUGGUUAUGGGUUUUACUAAUGCCAUUUCUG
This 346-nucleotide unclassified non-coding RNA is filed under the name Hevea brasiliensis (rubber tree). Lineage: Eukaryota; Viridiplantae; Streptophyta; Magnoliopsida; Malpighiales; Euphorbiaceae. The record is from RNAcentral.